RNAcentral lists this unclassified non-coding RNA (698 nucleotides) under Hevea brasiliensis (rubber tree). The record is from RNAcentral. Lineage: Eukaryota; Viridiplantae; Streptophyta; Magnoliopsida; Malpighiales; Euphorbiaceae.
CAGUCCUUGCUCAAAAGGGAGUGAGAUAUCAUGAGCCUGAGCAUUGGAAAUUUGGUGAGGAUGGAAACAAAUAUUUUCGACAUGCAACAGGGCAGUUAUAUGCCAUUUCAAAAGAUUUAGCUACUUAUAUAUCUUUAAAUCAGCAUGUUCUACACAAGUAUGUUAAUGAGGAUGUCUCAUUGGGUUCAUGGCUCAUUGGAUUGGAUGUGGAACAUAUAGAUGAUAGAAGAUUGUGUUGUGGAACUCCGCCAGAUUGUGAGUGGAAAGCUCAAGCAGGCAACAUUUGUGUUGCUUCCUUUGAUUGGAGCUGCAGCGGGAUAUGCAGGUCCGUAGAUAGGAUUAUGGAGGUUCAUCGACGUUGUGGGGAAGGCGAGAAUGCUUUGUGGAAUGCAUCCUUUUGACAAAAUCCAUCAUUUCUCCAAUCUCUGGAGGCUCCAAAAAUGGUUACACGAACACUCGAAAAAACAAGAUGUAUCCGAGAAUUCUCAGAAACAUUAUAUAAACUGUAUCAAUGGGAGAGGGAAGAGAGGUUGCCACUAUAUCUGCUCCAAAUAUUAUUAGCUAAGGAGAGGGAUAGUAUUGUAGCAACCAAUAUGUGAAGCAAAAAGUGUAAAGAGUCAUUCUUUUUAGAUGCUUAGAUUAUAAUAAUUUGUUAGUCUUUGUGAGAGGAAACUAUCAAGUGUAAUACUUUUGUUGCU